This 29-nucleotide small RNA is filed under the name Bombyx mori (domestic silkworm). RNAcentral describes it as "ovarian small RNA-31752". The record is from RNAcentral. Lineage: Eukaryota; Metazoa; Arthropoda; Insecta; Lepidoptera; Bombycidae.
UGACGCCUGGUUAAGCAGCCUAGCAGCGC